AGCGAACGCUGGCGGCAUGCUUAACACAUGCAAGUCGCACGAAGGUUUCGGCCUUAGUGGCGGACGGGUGAGUAACGCGUAGGAAUCUAUCCAUGGGUGGGGGGAUAACUCUGGGAAACUGGAGCUAAUACCGCAUGAUACCUGAGGGUCAAAGGCGCAAGUCGCCUGUGGAGGAGCCUGCGUUUGAUUAGCUUGUUGGUGGGGUAAUGGCCUACCAAGGCGGUGAU
Molecule: ribosomal RNA, 227 nt
Filed under: uncultured bacterium
Lineage: Bacteria
Description: partial 16S ribosomal RNA
Rfam family: Bacterial small subunit ribosomal RNA
Source: RNAcentral